RNAcentral lists this ribosomal RNA (497 nucleotides) under uncultured bacterium. RNAcentral describes it as "partial 16S ribosomal RNA". It matches the Rfam family "Bacterial small subunit ribosomal RNA", at positions 28 to 507 of the family's 1533-position model. The record is from RNAcentral.
GAUGAACGCUGGCGGCGUGCCUAAUACAUGCAAGUCGAGCGAACAGACGAGGAGCUUGCUCCUCUGACGUUAGCGGCGGACGGGUGAGUAACACGUGGAUAACCUACCUAUAAGACUGGGAUAACUUCGGGAAACCGGAGCUAAUACCGGAUAAUAUAUUGAACCGCAUGGUUCAAUAGUGAAAGACGGUUUUGCUGUCACUUAUAGAUGGAUCCGCGCCGCAUUAGCUAGUUGGUCAGGUAACGGCUUACCAAGGCGACGAUGCGUAGCCGACCUGAGAGGGUGAUCGGCCACACUGGAACUUAGACACGGUCCAGACUCCUACGGGAGGCAGCAGUAGGGAAUCUUCCGCAAUGGGCGAAAGCCUGACGGAGCAACGCCGCGUGAGUGAUGAAGGUCUUCGGAUCGUAAAACUCUGUUAUUAGGGAAGAACAAAUGUGUAAGUAACUAUGCACGUCUUGACGGUACCUAAUCAGAAAGCCACGGCUAACUACGUG